AUACGGAGGGUGCGAGCGUUAAUCGGAAUUACUGGGCGUAAAGGGUGCGUAGGCGGCUUGAUAAGUCGGAUGUGAAAGCCCCGGGCUUAACCUGGGAAUUGCAUUCGAUACUGUCAGGCUAGAGUAUGUCAGAGGUUGGCGGAAUUCCUAGUGUAGCGGUGAAAUGCGUAGAUAUCAGGAGGAACACCAGUGGCGAAGGCGGCUAACUGGGGCAAUACUGACGCUGAGGCACGAAAGCGUGGGGAGCAAACAGGAUUAGAAACCCGAGUAGUCC
RNAcentral lists this ribosomal RNA (274 nucleotides) under uncultured bacterium. RNAcentral describes it as "partial 16S ribosomal RNA". It matches the Rfam family "Bacterial small subunit ribosomal RNA", at positions 523 to 796 of the family's 1533-position model. The record is from RNAcentral.